GACGAACGCUGGCGGCGUGCUUAACACAUGCAAGUCGAACGGAAAGGCCUCUUUCGGGGGGUACUCGAGUGGCGAACGGGUGAGUAACACGUGAGUAACCUGCCCUUGACUUUGGGAUAACUUCAGGAAACUGGGGCUAAUACCGGAUAGGAGCUCCUGCUGCAUGGUGGGGGUUGGAAAGUUUCGGCGGUUGGGGAUGGACUCGCGGCUUAUCAGCUUGUUGGUGGGGUAGUGGCUUACCAAGGCUUUGACGGGUAGCCGGCCUGAGAGGGUGACCGGCCACAUUGGGACAGGGUACCGCCCCAGCGCCCUAGGGGGGGCAGAGGGGGGAAAUAUGGCAAAAGGGGGGGAGGCCUGAGGCAGCAACGCCGGGGGGGGGAUGCGGGCUUUGGGGUUGUAACCCGUUUUCCCUCAUGAGAAAGCUUUGUGGGAGGGUAGUGGGUAAAGAGGCCCGGACUAGCUACGUC
RNAcentral lists this ribosomal RNA (467 nucleotides) under uncultured bacterium. Its description in RNAcentral is "partial 16S ribosomal RNA". It matches the Rfam family "Bacterial small subunit ribosomal RNA", at positions 28 to 507 of the family's 1533-position model. The record is from RNAcentral.